UGGGGAGUGGUGUAAGUGGUAACACAUAGGACUUUGGAUCCUAGUAUCCAGGUUCGAGUCCUGGCUCCCCAGCCA
Molecule: transfer RNA, 75 nt
Filed under: Acidobacteriota bacterium
Lineage: Bacteria; Pseudomonadati; Acidobacteriota
Description: Acidobacteria bacterium (groundwater metagenome) tRNA-Gln
Rfam family: tRNA
About the family: Transfer RNA (tRNA) molecules are approximately 80 nucleotides in length. Their secondary structure includes four short double-helical elements and three loops (D, anti-codon, and T loops).
Source: RNAcentral